This 370-nucleotide long non-coding RNA is filed under the name Elaeis guineensis (African oil palm). RNAcentral describes it as "long non-coding RNA (EGUI_LNC067116)". Lineage: Eukaryota; Viridiplantae; Streptophyta; Magnoliopsida; Arecales; Arecaceae. The record is from RNAcentral.
AAUCCUCACGAAAAUUAAUUUAGCUAAGAGAGGGUCACAAGGAAGCAUAAACUGUCCCUUAUGCGACUUAAACCCUGAGACAGCAGACCACUUGUUCCUUCAAUGUCCGUUCGCAAGAAAAGUUUAGACAAUACUUCAAACCAUCCUCCACUUCAAUGACUUACCAUACAAUCAAGAGCUGCUAUGGAACAACAGGAAAGCAGAAGACACUCCUGCCAGAUGCAACGGAUAUACUCCUUGCCACGGGAUUAUGGUAUCUAUGGAAAGAAAGAAAGAAGAGAUGCUUCAAUUUUCAUGCUUACCUCCCACAAUAUAUAACUCAAUAAAUCGUAGGUCUCUUCAUUUUCUAGACAGAACAAGUUAGAGAAGA